RNAcentral lists this ribosomal RNA (379 nucleotides) under uncultured bacterium. Its description in RNAcentral is "bacterial SSU rRNA". It matches the Rfam family "Bacterial small subunit ribosomal RNA", at positions 28 to 403 of the family's 1533-position model. The record is from RNAcentral.
GAUGAACGCUAGCGGCAGGCCUAAUACAUGCAAGUCGAACGGUAGAUCGGGUAGCAAUACUUGAUUGAGAGUGACGUAAGGGUGCGUAACACGUAUGCAAUCUACCCUCAACAGGAGUAUAGCUCGGGGAAACUCGGAUUAAACACUCCAUAACAUUACGAUGUGGCAUCACAUUGUGAUUAAAACUCCGGUGGUUGAGGAUGAGCAUGCGUCUGAUUAGUUAGUUGGAGGUGUAACGGACCCCCAAGACGAUGAUCAGUAGGGGAACUGAGAGGUUGAUCCCCCACACUGGCACUGAGAUACGGGCCAGACUCCUACGGGAGGCAGCAGUAGGGAAUAUUGGUCAAUGGGUGAGNGCCUGAACCAGCCAUGCCGCGUG